This 325-nucleotide ribosomal RNA is filed under the name uncultured eukaryote. Its description in RNAcentral is "partial 18S ribosomal RNA". It matches the Rfam family "Eukaryotic small subunit ribosomal RNA", at positions 1470 to 1796 of the family's 1831-position model. The record is from RNAcentral.
CCCUUAGAUGUUCUGGGCUGCACGCGCGCUACACUGAUGCGAUCAACGAGUUUCUUCCUUUGUCGGUAGACAUGGGUAACCUUUUGAACUCGCAUCGUGAUGGGGAUAGAUUAUUGUAAUUAUUAAUCUUCAACGAGGAAUUCCUAGUAGGUGCAAAUCAUCAGUUUGCAUCGAUUACGUCCCUGCCCUUUGUACACACCGCCCGUCGCUGCUACCGAUUGGUUGAUCUGGUGAAUUAUUCGGACUGCCGGAUGAAGGGGUUUCCUCAUCUUCCAGCGGAAAGUCUUGUUAACCCUAUCAACUAGAGGAAGCAGAAGUCGUAACA